Molecule: non-coding RNA, 132 nt
Filed under: Desulfosporosinus youngiae
Lineage: Bacteria; Bacillati; Bacillota; Clostridia; Eubacteriales; Desulfitobacteriaceae
Description: MoCo sequence
Rfam family: Molybdenum/Tungsten riboswitch aptamer (Moco RNA motif)
Source: RNAcentral
AAUCAAUCAUAUCUCCGAGCCUGAUCAACCUAACGAGAAAUCUAUGGUUGCCGGCCAGGGCUUUAAGCCCUCAGGGCGUAACCGGAAACGGGUAUGCCUUCACAUUUGAAAAGGAGGUGGCAGGCCUGGUAA